GGACCGGCUAUCCACAAGGCAGCCAGGCAGAGGGCAUGACGUGCAGCCAGGCGCAUGCUGUGCUGUGCAGAGGGGAUGAUGGGCACAGACAAGUGCACCCAUUCCUUCUUCACAAACAGCUGGCAGAGGGAGAGCCAACGCUGCAGCUCCCCGCCUGCCGGCAAUGCGGCCCAGCCCGCACAGGCCUAUUUCAUAACAGGGGGGAGAAAAAUCCUGAAAGGGCAGAGGGAGGAGGGUGGACUAAAGAUGCCUUACAGCACAGCACAAGCUGGAGCCAAGCUGCAGCCCCUUCUCUGCUCUGACACCUUUCACCCUCUGUCACGCUCCAGCACGAACACUGGCCCAUGAGAAGGGGAUGCCAGAAAAUGAAACGUUGAGCCCAACACAGGCUGAUCCUGGACACGUGGCAUCUUUAUGACAGGGAACAGGAGCAACCUGACCAACUCAGCGACACUGCCAGCCCUCCGGUGCCAGCCCAUCGCCUUCAUCGCUGCUCCUCUAGCACCUCAGAAAUAAAAACCAUGCAAACAAUAA
Molecule: long non-coding RNA, 534 nt
Organism: Lagopus leucura (white-tailed ptarmigan)
Lineage: Eukaryota; Metazoa; Chordata; Aves; Galliformes; Phasianidae
Exons: 2
Source: RefSeq, a predicted model, not a curated record